RNAcentral lists this ribosomal RNA (591 nucleotides) under uncultured Raoultella sp. Its description in RNAcentral is "bacterial SSU rRNA". It matches the Rfam family "Bacterial small subunit ribosomal RNA", at positions 941 to 1532 of the family's 1533-position model. The record is from RNAcentral. Lineage: Bacteria; Pseudomonadati; Pseudomonadota; Gammaproteobacteria; Enterobacterales; Enterobacteriaceae.
GUGGUUUAAUUCGAUGCAACGCGAAGAACCUUACCUACUCUUGACAUCCAGAGAACUUAGCAGAGAUGCUUUGGUGCCUUCGGGAACUCUGAGACAGGUGCUGCAUGGCUGCCGUCAGCUCGUGUUGUGAAAUGUUGGGUUAAGUCCCGCAACGAGCGCAACCCUUAUCCUUUGUUGCCAGCGGUUCGGCCGGGAACUCAAAGGAGACUGCCAGUGAUAAGCUGGAGGAAGGUGGGGAUGACGUCAAGUCAUCAUGGCCCUUACGAGUAGGGCUACACACGUGCUACAAUGGCAUAUACAAAGAGAAGCGACCUCGCGAGAGCAAGCGGACCUCAUAAAGUAUGUCGUAGUCCGGAUUGGAGUCUGCAACUCGACUCCAUGAAGUCGGAAUCGCUAGUAAUCGUAGAUCAGAAUGCUACGGUGAAUAUGUUCCCGGGCCUUGUACACACCGCCCGUCACACCAUGGGAGUGGGUUGCAAAAGAAGUAGGUAGCUUAACCUUCGGGAGGGCGCUUACCACUUUGUGAUUCAUGACUGGGGUGAAGUCGUAACAAGGUAACCGUAGGGGAACCUGCGGCUGGAUCACCUCCUU